AGAGUAAAAUUAUAAAUAAUAUUCACUUAUUUGUUGGAGAGAAAUAAACUCUGAUCCAUAUAACAGGAGAACAAAUAGAAGUAUGAUCUAUCCAUGGUUACAGUCAGUCCACGCCUCAACAUCUCUCAUAAAUGAUACACGCCAAAGAAUAUAAAUAUAUCUUACACAGGUAAUGAAUUCCGUCUUCACAUGUACCUUUCAAGAACAUUGUUUCUCUCAUAUUACAAGGGGAAGAAUGAACACUCCUACAAAAAAAGAAAUGCACCGCUUUUCAGUAAAUACCCAAAAAAGGGGAGAAAAGGAUUUGUAGUGAGCAAUUACGCAGCCAAAAGAUCCAAGCUUCUUGAUCCUAGAACAAUGAGAAUGGAAAUAAGCAUGCGAGCUGAGUGACCAUUUCCCGAUUUCAAAGCAACAAAAACACGGUUAAAAGAAUGGCCAGAUUUGUAAGGAAGAAGCAUGCGGCAAUCUUAUGCUGUCCAUUUGGUCUUGGAGCUGCUGCUUGUGCAGUUCCAUCACCUGGGCUGGAAGAUGGAACCCUCGCAAUAACGGAGGGCAAAGGUGACUCUGCCACAUCGUUCUCCGUUAGCACUGGGUUAGGAGCCUCAGCUGGCGGCAAUAAUUCACGCGGAAUUAUUUCCAGGAGACCACCUGGCGGAACCGGGGUCAUGUAAGGAGGUGUGUUCUUGCCCAAAUUUAAACAACGGUUCUUUUUGUAUCUAGCUGAUGUUCGAGGGAAGUCUGUGAUAACACCACUAACGUUGGCACCCAUGACAUAGGAGUUAACCUCCACAUUGGCAUCCGAGAAGAAAUCCCAUGCUUGAGAUACAAAUUCAUUGCUGAAGGUCUCUACAUAAACAGCGAGCCCAGCUGAGCUUAGCCUUGGCACAACAUUUGUAACACCAGUGAGGAAUAGUGCAUUAUCGGGGUAGACAGAACUCUUGCUGAUGACCACAGAAUCAGCAAAUGUCUUGAUGUCUUUAAUGGUUGCAUCAAGAGCAUCUCGAAUAUUCUCAUCGACCUUGUAAACACGCUUGAAAUUACUUUUUUCCUUAAACUUCAUCAGAACAGAACUAUUUGUGGACUGAAUCAUAACUUCUGUUGCAAUCUGCCCAGCUUUGCUCAAAGCUUCAAGCACCGCAUCAGUUACAGGUAAUUUCUGCUUCUCUAUCAGAUAGAAAGCAUUCUCAAUGCUUAUCAAGACACCAGAAAGAGAGCUAGUGUUCUUUGCCAGGGCCAAGAAAUCAGACAAGCUUAAGAACUUUCCAUCAUUUCUGAACUUUGGAUUCCGCGACAACUCAUAUUUUGCAUAUGGGCUUGCUAUUGCCGGAGUCAAGGUCUGAAUCUGAUUCCAUGUCAAGCUAAAGGUAUAUAUUCCACUGCCUCCACUGAGCUCUGGAAUUAUUUCUGAAAGGUUGCUGUAAGGGGACUGAGCAACUGUUGUACUGUCAAUAAGAUUUAUGGAGCCUAAGCAAAAUGGUAUGCCAUCCUUCGACAUUUGGACAGGACAAUCAAUAACAUCUGCACCAUCUAAAAUAGCAUUCUGGUAUGCCUUGUCAGUACAACCGGGGUAAUCUCCACUUGCACCAUUUUUUGAGAUGACCAAAACAUUAGAUCGUUUUGAAGCAUUUUUGCCAAUAUGAGAAAAGCAAACUGCAAUACAAAAGGAUAAAUUAGCAUAUCAAAAAUAUUUGUUCCCUAGAUUAGGACAAUACACCAGCCUUAAGGUAUAAAUUCCUCAAGUAAAGUAUAGCCUAGCAGUGGCAGAAGAGCUUUUUUUAGAUGGCAUUUCCAACAUUCACAGUAAAAUUCAGCACUCGACCUAUUAAAAGCUUGACCAAAAUAUGAAUUCACACAUAACCAGGGAAUAAAAUAAGAGCAUUACUGCCAAAUAACUGGUUAAUUAUUCAAGCCAAAGAUGCUACAUGGUUACAAUUUUGAGAAAGAUAUUAAUCCACUUUCCUUGAUCCAAAAACAAAUUAAUUGGAUUCAUUCAAGUUGAGGUUGCAAUGAAUGUGCACUUGCAAAUGAUGUCAGAUGCAAACAAAAGGUAAUGUACUACUUCACCCUCUGUACAGAUGCAUGACAAUUUGACAAUUAUAGGAUGGAUGAAGAUAGGAUGGAUGAAGAAGAAGAUGGCUCACCUAUUGCCGCUGAUGGAGUUAUUGGGAAGUCAGAUAGUACACCAUCAACAGAGAAAUCACCAUUAUCGAUGAAAGAUAAAUAUUCACUAACUGGAUCAUAACUGUAAUUGAAACUAAAUGGAACAUCAUUGUAAAAUUCUGAUGCAAAAACUUCUAGCCCUGCUUUGUGUGCAUCCAAGACAACAGAAGUAUGAGUUUGUAAGUAAAGAGUUGCAUCAACAGGCCAUAUGUAACCCUUAGGGAUAAGAAUUCCAGAGGCAAAUGUCUUGAUAAAUGUUAAAUUCUUCAACAGAGAACUGUAAGUCUGGUUUGUUGAAGGCUCAAAAUCAUUAGGUCCUAGAAAGCGGAAGACCAGUUUUGUCACAUUAGGGUUGACUCGUGCAGCAAUACUUCUCAGGAAAACCACCUCUGGUGAUGAGAUAUAAUUGGCAACCACUUUUCUAGAUAGAGCAAGUAUGUAACUUCUCAUGCUCAAAUCGUGUUGUGUGAAAAAUGCAUCAUGCUGAACAUUCAACCACAUGCCUGAUGGUUUUAGUGCAGCCACAUUCUCAACUUGCUGGAUUGGAGACAAGCCAUCAAAUUUGUUAGGUCGAGAAUAGACACCCUGGGUAUAGACUACAGAUGAUAAAUCACUGAAAGUGAAAUCCACUGAAAAACAUCCUCGAGUGGGGACACCAUUAACUAGGUAAGUCUUGUACUUAUUUAAAAUUGAAAUGUUGGUAGAAUUUUCCAGCCUGAGAUCAGGAGCACAAAUCCCUAUUCCAUCUUUGGUUAACUGCACAUCACACCAUAGAAUUACAUCGGGUACACUGGUUUCCAAUGCGAACUGAUAAGCAUAAUAGCUUGAAUCUGGAAAUAGCCCUGAAAACCCUCCACGUGCAACAACUAAAGGUGGAUUUCCGCUAAGUGUCUGCCAGCGGCUAGUAGAUCCCUGAGCAGAAACCAGAGUUACUAAUGAGUGAAGUAGCAGAAAUGCAGGCAGUAGAGACGUAAAAGCGCGUGGACUAGACAUUGCAGCCGGAGAAUCUCGCCGGCAACUGAUCGACGGAGCGAAGCAGCUUCGGUCAGGUUAUUUCGGGAAAUGUGCGAGGUUUGAUAAAAUUGAGAGAUAGAGGAAGAGAGGGACACAAGAGGGAGAUGUGAAGUGAUGCACAGACCUUUUCAGGCUGGCAUUUCUG
RNAcentral lists this unclassified non-coding RNA (3319 nucleotides) under Hevea brasiliensis (rubber tree). Lineage: Eukaryota; Viridiplantae; Streptophyta; Magnoliopsida; Malpighiales; Euphorbiaceae. The record is from RNAcentral.